GCUGGGUGUGGUGGCACGUGCCUGUAGUCCCAACUACUCGGGAGACUGAGGCUGGUGAUCUCUUGAGCCCAGUUCUGGGCUGUAGUGCGCUACGGUGACUGGGUGUCCGCACUAAGUUUGGCAUCAGUGUGGUGACCUUCUGUGAGUGGGGGACCACCAGGUUGCCUAAGGAGGGGUGAACCAGCCCAGGUCGGAAAUGAAGCAGGUCAAAACUCCUGUGCUGAUCAGUAGUGGGAUCGCACCUGUGAAUAGCCACUGCAUUCCAGCCUGGGCAACAUAGCAAGACCCCAUCUCUU
Molecule: unclassified non-coding RNA, 296 nt
Organism: Callithrix jacchus (white-tufted-ear marmoset)
Lineage: Eukaryota; Metazoa; Chordata; Mammalia; Primates; Cebidae
Rfam family: Metazoan signal recognition particle RNA
About the family: The signal recognition particle (SRP) is a universally conserved ribonucleoprotein.
Source: Ensembl